RNAcentral lists this unclassified non-coding RNA (269 nucleotides) under Glomeraceae sp. Its description in RNAcentral is "partial contains 5.8S ribosomal RNA and internal transcribed spacer 2". The stretch from base 1 to 71 matches the Rfam family "5.8S ribosomal RNA", at positions 84 to 154 of the family's 154-position model. Lineage: Eukaryota; Fungi; Glomeromycota; Glomeromycetes; Glomerales; Glomeraceae. The record is from RNAcentral.
GUGAAUCAUCAAAUCUUUGAACGCAAAUUGCACUCUCUGGUAUUCCGGAGAGUAUGCCUGUUUGAGGGUCAGUUUAAAUAAAAAUCGGUGUGUUGCUUCUUUGUGACGCUCCGGAGCUUGGGUAAUCUUAAUAUCUGUUAGGUUUUAAGAGGCUUAAAGUUGACUUUUUUUGCGCAUUUUAGAUGUACAUAAAUUCUUUUUUUGAUCAGUUUGUCUUAAUGCUCAAAAUCCUAUUAGAUGUGACAAUAUCGUGUGGUUGCGUGUCGAUA